GGUGANUAACGCGUAUGCAACCUGUCCGUUACAGGGGGAUAGCCCAUGGAAACGUGGAUUAACACUCCAUAAUAUAAUAUAGAGGCAUCUUUGUGUUAUUAAAUAUUCAUAGGUAACGGUUGGGCAUGCGUCCUAUUAGAUAGUUGGGGGGGUAACGGCCCACCAAGUCGAUGAUAGGUAGGGGUUCUGAGAGGAAGGUCCCCCACACUGGUACUGAGACACGGACCAGACUCCUACGGGAGGCAGCAGUGAGGAAUAUUGGUCAAUGGGCGAGAGCCUGAACCAGCCAAGUCGCGUGAGGGAUGACUGCCCUAUGGGUUGUAAACCUCUUUUGUAUGGGGGGAAUAAGCUUUACGAGUAGAGUGAUGACAGUACCAUACGAAUAAGCAUCGGCUAACUCCGUGCCAGCAGCCGCGGUAAUACGGAGGAUGCGAGCGUUAUCCGGAUUUAUUGGGUUUAAAGGGUGCGUAGGCGGCAUUAUAAGUUAGUGGUAAAAUAUUGGGGCUUCACCUCACUACGCCAUUAAUACUGUAGAGCUAGAGAACAGACGAGGUAGGCGGAAUAAGUUAAGUAGCGGUGAAAUGCAUAGAUAUAACUUAGAACACCGAUAGCGAAGGCAGCUUACCAGACUGAGUCUGACGCUGAUGCACGAGAGCAUGGGUAGCGAACAGGAUUAGAUACCCUGGUAGU
Molecule: ribosomal RNA, 690 nt
Filed under: uncultured bacterium
Lineage: Bacteria
Description: bacterial SSU rRNA
Rfam family: Bacterial small subunit ribosomal RNA
Source: RNAcentral